RNAcentral lists this ribosomal RNA (561 nucleotides) under Hansenula anomala. RNAcentral's name for it is "eukaryotic LSU rRNA". It matches the Rfam family "Eukaryotic large subunit ribosomal RNA", at positions 94 to 668 of the family's 3401-position model. The record is from RNAcentral. Lineage: Eukaryota; Fungi; Ascomycota; Saccharomycetes; Phaffomycetales; Wickerhamomycetaceae.
UGAAGCGGCAAAAGCUCAAAUUUGAAAUCUAGCACCUUCGGUGUUCGAGUUGUAAUUUGAAGAUGGUAACCUUGGGUUUGGCUCUUGUCUAUGUUCCUUGGAACAGGACGUCAUAGAGGGUGAGAAUCCCGUCUGAUGAGAUGCCCAUUCCUAUGUAAGGUGCUAUCGAAGAGUCGAGUUGUUUGGGAAUGCAGCUCUAAGUGGGUGGUAAAUUCCAUCUAAAGCUAAAUAUUGGCGAGAGACCGAUAGCGAACAAGUACAGUGAUGGAAAGAUGAAAAGAACUUUGAAAAGAGAGUGAAAAAGUACGUGAAAUUGUUGAAAGGGAAGGGCAUUAGAUCAGACUUGGUGUUUUACGAUUAUCUUCUCUUCUUGAGUUGUGCACUCGUAUUUCACUGGGCCAGCAUCGAUUCGGAUGGCAAGAUAAUGGCAGUUGAAUGUGGCUUCACUUCGGUGGAGUGUUAUAGCUUCUGCUGAUAUUGCCUGUCUGGAUCGAGGGCUGCGUCUUUUGACUAGGAUGCUGGCGUAAUGAUCUAAUGCCGCCCGUCUUGACCCCCGGACCC